UUGCUUUGGCAGCACAUAUACUAAAUUUAGAACAAUACAGAGAAGAUUAGCCUGGCCCCCGUGCAAGGAUGAAAUGCAAAUUCAUGAAGCAUUCCAUAUUUAU
Molecule: small nuclear RNA, 103 nt
Organism: Jaculus jaculus (lesser Egyptian jerboa)
Lineage: Eukaryota; Metazoa; Chordata; Mammalia; Rodentia; Dipodidae
Source: RefSeq, a predicted model, not a curated record